UACGGAGGGUGCGAGCGUUGUCCGGAUUUAUUGGGUUUAAAGGGUGUGUAGGUGGCCCUGUAAGUCAGUGGUGAAAUAUCUCAGCUUAACUGAGAGGGUGCCAUUGAUACUGCAGGGCUUGAGUACAGAUGAGGUAGGCGGAAUUGACGGUGUAGCGGUGAAAUGCAUAGAUAUCGUCAAGAACACCGAUAGCGAAGGCAGCUUACCAAGCUGUAACUGACACUGAGGCACGAAAGUGUGGGGAUCAAACAGG
Molecule: ribosomal RNA, 253 nt
Filed under: uncultured bacterium
Lineage: Bacteria
Description: partial 16S ribosomal RNA
Rfam family: Bacterial small subunit ribosomal RNA
Source: RNAcentral